This 804-nucleotide long non-coding RNA is filed under the name Vulpes vulpes (red fox). RNAcentral describes it as "lncRNA (ENSVVUG00000023852.1)". The record is from RNAcentral. Lineage: Eukaryota; Metazoa; Chordata; Mammalia; Carnivora; Canidae.
GUUCUUGAUGUGCUUUAACAAAGAAAACUAAAAACCUGACUGCUGAGGACUUUUAAAUGCCAAAAGCCUAAUGAUUAUCUUGCUGCCACCAUGAGAGCUCUUCCUUACCCUGGAACCAGGGCACAGGCAUUAGUCUUCUGUAACUGAGGUCUUGCCAUGUGGCUCCAUUUCUACAUGAAAGGCCACCUAGACUCUCUCCUCUGUAGUCUUUUACUUAACUUUGUCAGCACAGAUGUUGCAAACUAGUGAUCAAAGGAAAAGUCAUGGCUUAUAUUAAGAAAGUCCUCCUGAGGGAUCCCUGGGUGGCGCAGCGGUUUGGCGCCUGCCUUUGGCCCGGGGCGCGAUCCUGGAGACCCGGGAUCAAAUCCCACGUCGGGCUCCCGGUGCAUGGAGCCUGCUUCUCCCUCUGCCUAUGUCUCUGCUUCUCUCUCUCUCACUCUGUGCCUAUCAUAAAUAAAUAAAAUUAAAAAAAAAAAAAAAGAAAGUCCUCCUGAGUCCUCUGUGGUCAGGGCUAAUGGUAUAUUUGCAGUUCUGCCUGUCAGAAGCCUUGUGAAAUUUUAUCACACUGUUGUGACCCGAGUGUGGACUCUCCUGAAGGACCUAUGCCUCCUUCUUUGCUCAUUACUAAAACCUUAGAAACAACACGACUGACAAGUAGAAAGACACCUGUAGAAACCUUAAGGGAAAAAAAUUACCCUUUAUUGUUUGUUUUGCUUGGGAAAACAACAGAGGUCUCCAGUGAUGAGAUGGAGUGGUCUAUCAGUUUGGAAGAGUGACCAGGAAUGAUCUAUUUUUCUGUCUCCU